RNAcentral lists this ribosomal RNA (312 nucleotides) under uncultured Veillonellaceae bacterium. Its description in RNAcentral is "bacterial SSU rRNA". It matches the Rfam family "Bacterial small subunit ribosomal RNA", at positions 49 to 339 of the family's 1533-position model. The record is from RNAcentral. Lineage: Bacteria; Bacillati; Bacillota; Negativicutes; Veillonellales; Veillonellaceae.
UAACACAUGCAAGUCGAACGGGGAAUCAAGGAGCUUGCUCCGAGAUUCUUAGUGGCAAACGGGUGAGUAACGCGUAGGCAAUCUGCCCUUGGGAUGGGGACAACAGAGCGAAAGUUCUGCUAAUACCGAAUGAAGCAACCUUUUCGCAUGGGAAGGUUAUGAAAGGCAGCUGAGACAAGCGAAGCUGUCACCUGAGGAUGAGCCUGCGUCUGAUUAGCCAGUUGGUGAGGUAACGGCUCACCAAAGCGACGAUCAGUAGCCGGUCUGAGAGGAUGAACGGCCACAUUGGGACUGAGACACGGCCCAAACUCC